GGAAGCUACUAAGGGCGAGCGGUGGAUGCCUUGGCUGGCAGAGGCGAUGAAGGACGUGCCAGGCUGCGAAAAGCCAGGGGGAGCUGCCAAGAAGCAUUGAUCCCUGGAUAUCCGAAUGGGGAAACCCGGCCAGUCGUAAGACUGGUCACCUCUUUUGAGGGGCGAACCUGGGGAAGUGAAACAUCUCAGUACCCAGAGGAAAAGAAAUCAAACGAGAUUCCCUAAGUAGCGGCGAGCGAACGGGGAGUAGCCCGCCUCUGUGUAGCUAACAAGUUAGGGGAACUACUUGGAAAAGUAGGCCAAAGAAGGUGAAAGCCCUGUACCCGAAAGCUUGUUAGUGGGACUAAGCAGAGGCCUUGUGAGUAGCUCGGGACACGUGAAAUCCUGAGUGAAGAUGGGAGGACCACCUUCCAAGGCUAAAUACUACUGCCAGACCGAUAGCGAACAAGUACCGUGAGGGAAAGGUGAAAAGAACCCUGGUGAAGGGAGUGAAAUAGAACCUGAAACCGCUUGCCUACAAUCAUUCGGAGCCCUAUUGCUUUUAGCAAGGGUGACGGACUGCCUUUUGCAUAAUGAGCCUGCGAGUUGUGGUUACUGGCGAGGUUAAUCCGAGAGGAGGAGCCGAAGCGAAAGCGAGUCUGAAAAGGGCGAAUUAGUCAGUAGCUGCAGACCCGAAGCUGAGUGAUCUAUCCAUGGGCAGGUUGAAGGUGGGGUAAGACCCACUGGAGGACCGAACCGGUAGGCGUUGAAAAGCCUUCGGAUGACCUGUGGAUAGGGGUGAAAGGCCAAUCAAACUCAGUGAUAGCUGGUUCUCUCCGAAAUGCAUUUAGGUGCAGCGUCAAGAGGUAGCCAUAGGGGGUAGAGCACUGAUAGGGCUAGGGCGGCCCACAGCCGUACCAAACCCUGUCAAACUCCGAAUACCUAUGGUGGAAUCUUGGCAGUGAGGCGUAGGGUGAUAAAAUCCUAUGUCGAGAGGGGAACAACCCAGACUACCGACUAAGGUCCCCAAGUUAAGCCUAAGUGGAAAAGGAGGUUUUCCUGCUUAGACAACCAGGAGGUUGGCUUAGAAGCAGCCAUCCUUUAAAGAAAGCGUAACAGCUCACUGGUCGAGCGGGGAAGCGCCGAAAAUAUAACGGGGCUAAAGGCUUACACCGAAGUCGUAGACUCUAUGUGGAAUAGAGUGGUAGGAGAGCGUUGGUGUCAGCGUUGAAGCCAUACCGGUGAGGAGUGGUGGAGCGGCACCAAGUGAGCAUGCAGGCAUGAGUAGCGAUAAAAUGGGUGAGAAUCCCAUUCGCCGAAAGCCUAAGGUUUCCUACACGAUGCUCGUCAGUGUAGGGUUAGUCGGGACCUAAGACGAGGCCGAAAGGCGUAGUCGAUGGGAAAACGGUUAAUAUUCCGUUACCUACUAAUAGCGAGCCGAAGGGGGGACGCAUAGGGCUAACCGAGGUCACUGAUGGAAUAGUGGCUCGAAGGGUGUAGGAGGUCAAGUAGGCAAAUCCGCUUGACAAAACUCCGAGACCUGACAGGCCCUCAAACCUCUUCGGAGGGGAGAGGGAAUCGGUGAUGCCGUCGUGCCGAGAAAAGCCUCUAAGGCGUUUGAGCUAUUAGUAGCCCGUACCGCAAACCGACACAGGUAGGCGGGAUGAGUAUUCUAAGGCGCGUGGAAGAACCCUCCCUAAGGAACUCGGCAAAUUGGCACCGUAACUUCGGGAUAAGGUGUGCCCCGAGUAGGUGAAGGAGCUUGCCUCUGGAGCCGAAAGGGGUCGCAGCGUAGCGCUCUUGCCGACUGUUUACCAAAAACACAGCACUCUGCUAACUCGUAAGAGGAAGUAUAGGGUGUGACGCCUGCCCGGUGCCGGAAGGUUAAGGGGAUCCGUUAGCCGUAAGGCAAAGCGGUGAACCGAAGCCCCGGUAAACGGCGGCCGUAACUAUAACGGUCCUAAGGUAGCGAAAUUCCUUGUCGGUU
Molecule: ribosomal RNA, 1966 nt
Filed under: hydrothermal vent metagenome
Description: bacterial LSU rRNA
Rfam family: Bacterial large subunit ribosomal RNA
Source: RNAcentral